Long non-coding RNA from Bufo bufo (common toad), 414 nucleotides. RefSeq lists it as uncharacterized. The record is from RefSeq and is a predicted model, not a curated record. The transcript is spliced from 3 exons. Lineage: Eukaryota; Metazoa; Chordata; Amphibia; Anura; Bufonidae.
UUCAUAGUUCCUGAAUUUUCAGGGACUGUCCCUUGCUUUUAGCUACAGUCUCAGCAAAUUCAGACCAUCCUGGACCGAAAAAUGCACAGGGCUUAUCUAAGCCCUACCCAUUAAUGUGUUGUCCCACCUGGUUUGGGGGGCGCUGUCUAUUUGGCCUUAAUUUACCAACUCCGGUGUUGGCAAGUAUGUGUAUUUGGCUAAUAUAUAGAAUUUAUAGCACAUUCGGAACAAUGCAAGACACAGUAUGUACAUACAUGCAGGUAGGUCCAAAGUGUAGUGGUAUCCCUACAAUAUUUCUUAGGAAGGUAAAUAUGGAAAAGUGGCAACUAACUGCAGCACCGGCAAGGUAAAGGAUUUCUGUCACCAGAAUUAACCCUCUUAAACUGUCUGACAUUAGCGAUGUGCUAAUGUCAG